UACGUAGGAGACGAGCGUUGUCCGGAGUUACUGGGCGUAAAGGGUGCGCAGGUGGCCGCGCGCGUGGGGGGUGAAAUCGCCUGGCUUAACUGGGCGGGGGCCUUCCAGACGGCGUGGCUUGAGCAGCGGAGGGGGGCGUGGAAUUCCGGGUGGAGCGGUGAAAUGCGUAGAGAUCAUGAGGAAGACCAGUGGCGAAGGCGGGUCUCCUGGACAGUUCCUGACACUGAGGCACGAAGGCCCAGGGGGAGCAAACGGGG
This 257-nucleotide ribosomal RNA is filed under the name uncultured bacterium. Its description in RNAcentral is "partial 16S ribosomal RNA". It matches the Rfam family "Bacterial small subunit ribosomal RNA", at positions 524 to 777 of the family's 1533-position model. The record is from RNAcentral.